CCUACGGGAGGCUGCAGUGGGGAAUAUUGCACAAUGGGCGCAAGCCUGAUGCAGCCAUGCCGCGUGUAUGAAGAAGGCCUUCGGGUUGUAAAGUACUUUCAGCGGGGAGGCGUUACCCGCAGAAGAAGCACCGGCUAACUCCGUGCCAGCAGCCGCGGUAAUACGGAGGGUGCAAGCGUUAAUCGGAAUUACUGGGCGUAAAGCGCACGCAGGCGGUCUGUUAAGUCAGAUGUGAAAUCCCCGGGCUUAACCUGGGAACUGCAUUUGAAACUGGCAGGCUUGAGUCUUGUAGAGGGGGGUAGAAUUCCAGGUGUAGCGGUGAAAUGCGUAGAGAUCUGGAGGAAUACCGGUGGCGAAGGCGGCCCCCUGGACAAAACUGACGCUCAGGUGCGAAAGCGUGGGGAGCAAACAGGAUUAGAUACCCUUGUAGUC
RNAcentral lists this ribosomal RNA (432 nucleotides) under uncultured bacterium. Its description in RNAcentral is "partial 16S ribosomal RNA". It matches the Rfam family "Bacterial small subunit ribosomal RNA", at positions 338 to 795 of the family's 1533-position model. The record is from RNAcentral.